Molecule: long non-coding RNA, 1304 nt
Filed under: Ananas comosus (pineapple)
Lineage: Eukaryota; Viridiplantae; Streptophyta; Magnoliopsida; Poales; Bromeliaceae
Description: long non-coding RNA (ACOM_LNC004066)
Source: RNAcentral
UAACUUUCCUACUUAAUCUAUUACUAUAUAUAAAAGUAGAACCUUUAAUGAACCCUAUGUGAGAAGCUGACACGUGACUUUUUAUAUACUUGCCACGUGUUAAACUCAAAUAUAGAUAUUUGGUUACGAAUGGAUAUUUGGUUACGAAUUAUUUGAAAUUAUUGGUUUCUAUAUACUUGCCACGUGUUAAACUCAAAUAUGGAUAUUUGGUUACGAAUGGAUAUUUGGUUACGAAUUAUUUGAAAUUAUUGGUUUAAUUAAUUAUUUAAAAUUAUUGGUUGCGAACUACGCAAUAAUCUGUUGCGAAUUAUUUUUUCGCGGUGGAAAUAAUCUGUUGCAAACUCAAAUUUCGUAUUGGCAGAAAAUUAAUUAUUUAAAAUUAUUGGUUGCGAAAUAAGCAAUAAUCUGUUGCGAAUUAUUUAAAACAGUUAGUUGCGAAAAAAAGGGUCAAACUCAAAUUUCGUAUUGGCAGAUUUGGUUACGAAUUAUUUGAAAUUAUUGGUUUAAUUAAUUAUUUAAAAUUAUUGGUUGCGAAAUACGCAAUAAUCUGUUGCAAAUUAUUUUUUCGCGGUGGAAAUAAUCUGUUGCAAGCUCAAAUUUCGUAUUGGCAGAUAAUUAAUUAUUUAAAAUUAUUGAUUGCGAAAUAAGCAAUAAUCUGUUGCGAAUUAUUUGAAAUAGUUAGUUGCGAAAAAAAUGGUCAAACUCAAAUUUCGUAUUGGCAAAUAAUUAAUUAUUUAAAAUUAUUGGUUCCGAAAUCAAUAAUCUAACGGUCCAACUCAAAUUUCGUAUUGGCAGAUAACAGUCAAACUCAAAUUUCGUGUUGACAGAUAAUUAAUUAUUUAAAAUUGUUGGUUGCGAAAUAAGCAAUAAUCUGUUGCGAAUUAUUUGAAAUGGUCAAACUCAAAUUUCGUAUUGGCAGAUAAUUAAUUAUUUAAAAUUAUUGGUUGCGAAAUAAGCAACAAUCUGUUGCGAAUUAUUUGAAAUGGUUAGUUGCGAAAAAAAAGUCAAACUCAAAUUUCGUAUUACCAAAUAAUUAAUUAUUUAAAAUUAUUGGUUGCGAAAUACGCAAUAAUCUGUUGCGAAUUAUUUGAAAUGAUUGGUUGCGAAAAAAUCGGUAUAGAUGACCAAAGUAAAAACGAAAUGAUUGGCGGUUGCUUUGAAAUUGAAUUAUUUGAAAUGGUUAGUUGCGAAAAAAAUGGACAAACUCAAAUUUCGUAUUACCAGAUAAUUAAUUAUUUAAAAUUAUUGGUUGCGAAAUACGCAAUAAUCUGUUGCGAAUUAUUUGAAAUGAUUAGUUGCGAAAA